AGGCGUCUCCCGGCGUUCCCUGACUUACGUCAUCAUCUUCUCCUUGAGAGUGUAGGAGCUUUCUGCCUUUUAAAUCCAUCCCUGACAGGUAGCGUAAUGUGUUCCGCGAGUUGAUUGGGAACUUCUGGGCAGGAUGGAAUGUUUGGAAACUGUUGCCCUGCUGCUUGCUGUCCCUGCUCGGGGCUGUCAAGAAAAGCAAGGCUCCCAAGUCCUUGUCCUGCAGCCAUGAUCAAUCAGCAACUCCACUUAUAUGGUGAUUUAUUAAAGUCUUUGGAACCCAUAA
Molecule: long non-coding RNA, 283 nt
Organism: Peromyscus eremicus (cactus mouse)
Lineage: Eukaryota; Metazoa; Chordata; Mammalia; Rodentia; Cricetidae
Exons: 2
Source: RefSeq, a predicted model, not a curated record